GAAAAUAAGACUCCUGAGGAGGCGUUUCUGGAUGACACGGCCUCUUCGAGCCUUCCAUGGUGGGAUGAACAGUUAUUCCCAUCAUUAGAGCCUUCACCAAAUGAGAUUGGAGGUUCAGCACAGUGUUGCUACGGCAGCAACAACUGCGCCUGCUACUGAGUCUGCUGCCACCUCAUAUCCUGCAGCCACACCAACUAAAUGUGCUGCCUCUUCUGGUCCUGCAGCCUUAGCAGUCACACUGCCUUCUGCCUCUCAUGCUGACAUGUCGCAGUGUUCGUUCAGCAAGGAUGAACAGCUAAGAUAAUCAAGGAUCCACAAGGAGUAUUAUAGGUUGACCUGCCUAACGGUGGGACGCUCUCAAGGACCGCCUCGAGAAAGGACUUUCAUUUGGUUCAGCGGUCCACCAUCGCAAUAUGGUGGACAGAUGCCCACACGCAUAGGAGCUUCACGGGAACGAACCGUUUUGCAGCAGCAGGCAGCCAGAAGCCUGCACAUCGGCCAUUGUCCCCACAUAAAGUGGGAGCAUAGAGAGGUCAGCGAGAAAGCUUGCGCAUUUCAGUAGCGUGCAUGUUUUCUGUCAUGCAUGCAUGUCGUUUUAUAACCUGGUACCAGUUCGGCAACUUCAGUGCCCUAUUUCUGAGCACAGCUGCAAGUUAUAUUUCCAGUCACAGAAUGUACAUGCCUAAUGGUUGAAAUGCUGAAAUGCUUGUCUACUUCAAGCAAUACUGCAAGUUGGCCCAGUUGGAACAUAUUCAUCUUCACGGAUUCGCGCAAGCACACGGAGA
Rhipicephalus sanguineus (brown dog tick) is the source of this 785-nucleotide long non-coding RNA. RefSeq lists it as uncharacterized. The record is from RefSeq and is a predicted model, not a curated record. The transcript has 3 exons. NCBI's taxonomy places the organism in Eukaryota, Metazoa, Arthropoda, Arachnida, Ixodida, Ixodidae.